Molecule: ribosomal RNA, 541 nt
Filed under: uncultured fungus
Lineage: Eukaryota; Fungi
Description: eukaryotic LSU rRNA
Rfam family: 5.8S ribosomal RNA (bases 160-313)
Source: RNAcentral
UAAAAGUCGUAACAAGGUUUCCGUAGGUGAACCUGCGGAAGGAUCAUUAUUGAUUGGUCGAAAGACCUUAUCAGAUUCUACCACCUCUGUGAACCGUUGACCUCCGGGUUAAUAAUCAAACAUCAGUGUAACGAACGUAAGAGUAUCUUAAUUAAACAAAACUUUUAACAACGGAUCUCUUGGCUCUCGCAUCGAUGAAGAACGCAGCGAAAUGCGAUAAGUAAUGUGAAUUGCAGAAUUCAGUGAAUCAUCGAAUCUUUGAACGCACCUUGCGCCUUUUGGUAUUCCGAAAGGCAUGCCUGUUUCAGUGUCAUGAAAUCUCAAUCUAAUAUGUUUUCUGAACAUGUUAGGCUAGGACUUGGGUGUCUGCCAGCAAUGGCUCACCUUAAAUGACUUAGUGGAACAUCCCACAUCAGUGUUAGACGUAAUAAGUUUCGUCUCUCCUUGUGGUGAUGACUGCUCAGAACCUGCCAUCGCGCAUCUUUUGACUUUGACCUGAAAUCAGGUAGGGCUACCCGCUGAACUUAAGCAUAUCAAUAAG